UACGUAGGUGGCAAGCGUUGUCCGGAUUUACUGGGCGUAAAGAGCGCGCAGGCGGUCGUUCAAGUCGCGUGUGAAAGCCCCCGGCUCAACUGGGGAGGGUCACGCGAUACUGAGCGACUCGAAGGCAGGAGAGGGUAGUGGAAUUCCCGGUGUAGUGGUGAAAUGCGUAGAUAUCAGGAGGAACACCGGUGGCGAAGGCGGGUCUCUGGGCCGAUACUGACGCUGAGGAGCGAAAGCGUGGGGAGCGAACAGG
This 253-nucleotide ribosomal RNA is filed under the name uncultured bacterium. RNAcentral's name for it is "partial 16S ribosomal RNA". It matches the Rfam family "Bacterial small subunit ribosomal RNA", at positions 524 to 776 of the family's 1533-position model. The record is from RNAcentral.